RNAcentral lists this ribosomal RNA (302 nucleotides) under uncultured bacterium. RNAcentral's name for it is "partial 16S ribosomal RNA". It matches the Rfam family "Bacterial small subunit ribosomal RNA", at positions 508 to 808 of the family's 1533-position model. The record is from RNAcentral.
GCAGCAGCCGCGGUAAUACGUAGGUCCCGAGCGUUGUCCGGAUUUAUUGGGCGUAAAGCGAGCGCAGGCGGUUAGAUAAGUCUGAAGUUAAAGGCUGUGGCUUAACCAUAGUACGCUUUGGAAACUGUUUAACUUGAGUGCAAGAGGGGAGAGUGGAAUUCCAUGUGUAGCGGUGAAAUGCGUAGAUAUAUGGAGGAACACCGGUGGCGAAAGCGGCUCUCUGGCUUGUAACUGACGCUGAGGCUCGAAAGCGUGGGGAGCAAACAGGAUUAGAUACCCCCGUAGUCCCUGUCUCUUAUACA